AGUGAACGCUGGCGGCGUGCUUAACACAUGCAAGUCGAGCGAGAACGGAUUAUAGCUUGCUAUAAUUGUCAGCUAAGUGGCGCACGGGUGAGUAAUGUAUAGGUAAUAUGCCUCUUACUAAGGGACAACAAAUGGAAACGUUUGCUAAUACCUUAUACUCCUUAUUAACCUAAGUUAAUAAGGGAAAGAUUUAUUGGUAAGAGAUUAGCCUGUAUUGUAUCAGUUAGUUGGUGGGGUAAUGGCUUACCAAGACUAUGACACAUAACUGGUUUGAGAGGAUGAUCAGUCACACUGGAACUGAGACACGGUCCAGACUCCUACGGGAGGCAGCAGUGGGGAAUAUUGCACAAUGGACGAAAGUCUGAUGCAGCAACGCCGCGUGGAGGAUGACACAUUUCGGUGCGUAAACUCCUUUUAUAUGAGAAGAUAAUGACGGUAUUAUAUGAAUAAGCACCGGCUAACUCCGUGCCAGCCGCCGCCGUAA
This 484-nucleotide ribosomal RNA is filed under the name uncultured bacterium. Its description in RNAcentral is "partial 16S ribosomal RNA". It matches the Rfam family "Bacterial small subunit ribosomal RNA", at positions 29 to 523 of the family's 1533-position model. The record is from RNAcentral.